GACGAACGCUGGCGGCGUGCCUAACACAUGCAAGUCGAACGGGGACUAUGUUUUCGGAUAUAGUUCUAGUGGCGAACGGGUGAGUAAUGCGUGAGCAACCUGCCUUUCAGAGGGGGACAACAGUUGGAAACGACUGCUAAUACCGCAUGACGUAUUAAGGGGACAUCCCCAUGAUACCAAAGGAGCAAUUCGCUGAAAGAUGGGCUCACGUCUGAUUAGUUAGUUGGUAGGGUAACGGCCUACCAAGACUGCGAUCAGUAGCCGGACUGAGAGGUUGAACGGCCACAUUGGGACUGAGAUACGGCCCAGACUCCUACGGGAGGCAGCAGUGGGGAAUAUUGGGCAAUGGGCGAAAGCCUGACCCAGCAACGCCGCGUGAAGGAAGAAGGCCUUCGGGUUGUAAACUUCUUUUAUGAGGGAAGAAAAAAAUGACGGUACCUCAUGAAUAAGCCACGGCUAACUACGUG
Molecule: ribosomal RNA, 467 nt
Filed under: uncultured organism
Description: bacterial SSU rRNA
Rfam family: Bacterial small subunit ribosomal RNA
Source: RNAcentral